Molecule: RNA transcript, 7675 nt
Organism: Numida meleagris (helmeted guineafowl)
Lineage: Eukaryota; Metazoa; Chordata; Aves; Galliformes; Numididae
Gene: DNM3
Gene name: dynamin 3
Exons: 24
Source: RefSeq, a predicted model, not a curated record
CUGUCAGCGGAGGCAGCGGGCGGAGAAGGAGGAGGCGGCGGUGGCGCGGCGGGAUGGAGGGGCUCAUCCCGCUCGUCAACCGGCUGCAGGACGCCUUCGCGGCGCUGGGCCAGAGCUGCCUGCUCGACCUGCCGCAGAUCGCGGUGGUGGGCGGGCAGAGCGCCGGCAAGAGCUCCGUGCUGGAGAACUGCGUUUCCAGGGAUUUUCUUCCACGAGGUUCUGGAAUUGUAACAAGACGACCGUUGGUCUUGCAGCUUGUCACUGCCAAAACAGAGUAUGCUGAAUUUCUACACUGCAAAGGAAGGAAGUUUACCGAUUUUGAUGAAGUUCGUCAGGAAAUUGAAGUAGAAACAGAUAGAAUAACAGGAGUGAACAAAGGGAUUUCUUCAAUUCCUAUUAAUUUAAGAAUAUAUUCUCCACAUGUACUAAGCCUGACUCUUAUUGACUUGCCGGGAAUCACUAAAGUGCCAGUAGGGGAUCAGCCUCCUGAUAUCGAGCAACAGAUAAGAGACAUGAUAAUGCAGUUCAUCUCUCGAGAAAACUGUUUGAUAUUGGCUGUGACUCCAGCUAACACUGAUCUGGCCAACUCAGAUGCUCUGAAGUUAGCUAAAGAAGUAGACCCUCAAGGCCUUAGGACCAUUGGUGUGAUCACAAAAUUGGAUCUGAUGGAUGAAGGAACAGAUGCAAGAGACGUUCUAGAAAAUAAACUACUCCCUCUUCGUAGAGGUUAUAUUGGUGUUGUGAACAGAAGCCAGAAGGACAUUGAUGGGAAGAAAGACAUAAAGGCAGCUCUCUUAGCAGAAAGGAAAUUCUUUCUUUCCCACCCAGCAUACAGGCACAUGGCAGAUCGGAUGGGAACACCGUAUCUUCAGAAAGUUCUAAACCAGCAACUUACCAAUCAUAUUCGGGAUACCCUGCCAGCUUUCAGGAGCAAACUCCAGAGCCAGCUGCUUUCUAUAGAACAUGAAGUAGAGGUAUACAAAAACUUCAGACCAGAAGAUCCAACGAGAAAAACGAAGGCUUUGUUGCAGAUGGUACAGCAGUUUUCAGUGGACUUUGAAAAAAGAAUCGAAGGAUCGGGCGAUCAGGUCGAUACACUAGAACUUUCAGGUGGUGCCAAAAUCAAUCGUAUUUUCCAUGAACGUUUCCCUUUUGAACUAGUGAAGAUGGAGUUCAAUGAGAAAGAGCUGCGGAGAGAAAUAAGUUAUGCAAUCAAGAACAUACAUGGUAUCAGAACAGGUUUAUUUACUCCAGAUAUGGCAUUUGAAGCUAUUGUUAAAAAGCAAAUAGUCAAGCUGAAAGGACCUUGCUUAAAAAGUGUGGAUCUGGUGAUGCAAGAGUUAAUCAACACUGUCAAGAAGUGCACUAAAAAGUUGGCAACCUAUCCAAGAUUGUGUGAGGAAACAGAAAGAAUUGUUGCUGGCUACAUUCGUGAAAGAGAAGAAAAGACCAAGGAUCAGGUGCUGCUGCUGAUUGAUAUCCAGGUUUCUUACAUCAACACCAACCACGAAGACUUCAUUGGCUUCGCAAAUGCCCAACAAAGAAGCAGUCAGGUUAACAAAAGUGCAGUGGGAAAUCAGGGAACCAAUCUACCGCCUUCAAGGCAAAUUGUCAUCCGGAAGGGCUGGCUGACAAUCAACAAUAUUGGCAUCAUGAAAGGAGGAUCCAAGGAAUACUGGUUCGUUCUAACUGCAGAAAGCCUGUCCUGGUAUAAAGACGAUGAGGAAAAAGAGAAGAAGUAUAUGCUUCCUCUGGACAACUUGAAAGUGCGUGAUGUUGAAAAGAGCUUCAUGUCUAGCAAACAUAUCUUUGCAUUGUUUAACACGGAGCAGAGGAAUGUUUACAAGGAUUACCGUUUCCUUGAACUAGCCUGUGACUCCCAAGAGGAGGUGGAUAGCUGGAAGGCAUCUCUGCUACGAGCCGGUGUCUAUCCUGAUAAAUCCUCAACUGAAAAUGAUGAGAAUGGCCAAGCGGACAAUUUUUCAAUGGACCCCCAAUUGGAGAGACAGGUGGAGACAAUUCGAAAUCUGGUGGACUCCUACAUGUCUAUUAUCAACAAAUGUAUCCGAGAUUUGAUACCGAAAACAAUCAUGCACCUUAUGAUCAAUAAUGUAAAAGAAUUUAUCAACGCUGAGCUCCUGGCUCACUUGUAUUCUUCUGAGGACCAAAAUACUCUAAUGGAGGAAUCAGCUGAACAGGCACAGAGGCGAGAUGAAAUGCUCCGCAUGUACCAAGCUCUAAAGGAAGCCCUAGCAAUCAUUGGUGACAUUAGCACUAGCACUGUGUCAACCCCUGCACCACCUCCUGUAGAUGAUUCUUGGCUUCAGCAGGCCCGCAGAUCACCUCCUCCAAGUCCCUCAACUCAGAGGAGGCCUACAUUAAAUAAUCCCCCAACCAGACCUUUAUCUGGCCGAGGACCUGCUCCUGCAAUCCCAUCUCCAGGCCCUCACUCAGGGGCUCCCCCGGUCCCGUUCCGCCCAGGACCAUUGCCACCAUUUCCAAGUGGUGGUGAAGCCCAUGGAGGACCUCCCCAAGUUCCUUCUCGGCCGACGCGGGCUCCUCCCAGUGUCCCAAGCUUUGACCCAUUUUCCUCGUGCUGUACAGUGCCUGGAAUGUGUUUGUUUGUCCUGCUGGCUCCUGAUUCUGGCGACCUCCUCCAGCCGUUCCAGGAAGAUCAGCCUAACACACACUUUGUUAUUGUUGUUACAUGCAAUCUGUCUUCUUUUUGUCCAAAUUUAUCUUUAAUUUGCACUAGUCUAUUUGUAAAUGAAAGAUUUUAUUUUCAGAUGUCAGUGAUAAGCUUGGAUAUAAAGAAAAUAAAAUUCUGGCUACAAAAUGAAUGUGUGCUGGUUUUCAAUGGAAGGGUCUAUCCACUCUUUCUCAAAAGGAGCCAUUAGUGCUCCGUGAAAGCCUAGGCUCUGGGGAGACUCCCCACGUCCAAGGAGUUGGAGGGAGGGAUGUGCUGCUGGGAUUCCAUCACCGUGUCUGAAUUCAUUGACCACCAGGACUGUUCUUGCAAAUGCCUUCGACUUAGCAUUAGCAGGAAGAACUUCCAACUUUUUGAACAACAGAGGGUGCAGAAGGCUCCUAUAAGAUGUCUAAUGCACCAGCAGCAUCUGACUCUGUGCUGAGUGGAAAACCUCAGAAGAUUGCAGCAGUCUCUCCACUGAUGAAUCUGCACAAUUGUAAACACAUUGCAGCUGCUCUGACCGCUUUUUUCAAGCUACCUCUGGAUUUCAAGUAAGUCUGACCCUGCGGUGUUGAGUGAAAGAUAAAAUCUGGAACUUAAUGUUCAGAAGAUGUGCUUGUCUUGGGUACUAGAGAAGCAUAUAAAGAAUAAGUCUUAAAAAAAAAAGUUUAAAUUGAUGAUUUUAUUGAUUUUUUUUUCUCAUGUGAAAACAAUGAAGGGAUAUCUCACAAGCCAUACUGAUAAGUCAGAGGGAACUGCACAGACAUGAACUGGAGGUACAAUGCAGCAUCAGGAUUCCAGCCUGUUCUUUGAAAGGUACAAACAAAACAUUUCUUUGUAGUAAAGGCUGCAGUAAGAGCAAGUUGCUACAGUGCUGCUCUGUGGGCAGAAGAGCAGAGGAGAUCUGUAUCAUGUGUAGAAGGGGCCUGACAACACACAGGCUGUGCUCAGUUUCAAGCCAGGUCUGACAUAGCUUUGCUUAGUUAGGGCUGAUUUAGGUCUUUGCUGAGAUCUCCUGUAUGCAUUAAGGUGCAGCCCUGUUUACAUGUGCUGGCAAAUGCCUGACUCAGUCAGUUUGCUCAAAUGAUAAGGGGUGCAAGCCCAGAGAGCUGUGGACUUGUACAAAUUUCUGUUUUCAUCUCCCUUAGACUUUGUCUUUUGAUAGAGUUUAGCAGAAAGAUAUCCAACAAAGAUAGCAGCAGAAGGGAAGAAAAAAACCCACAAACUCCACCAACUCUUAGGGCAGAAAGAAAAGCAGUAGUUCCUGCUAGACCUUUGAAUUGUACGUGCUCAACGAGGAAUUGCAGGAGCUGGAAAAAGUACAGUGAUGGGCAAUGUGCUUCCAGCACCUGGGAAAAAGGAGAAAUGGACGAUCCUAAUGGUUUUGUAAACAUUACUGUCCCAAAAGCCAGGGACAAGGAGUGGAGCUUGGACUGGCUUACCUUGCUGCAUCUCUCAUCAAUGGAAAUUGCUGUCAUCAAACAGAAGCAAAAAAGCCCUCAGCAGAGUUCAGGAGUACAGAAGAAGUGGCAUUUGUACCCAGUGGGCUGUUCAAGAGGCAGGAGGUUCUGGCCUUGCUUCAUCUCCCAGGUAGGAGGGAAUGGGACCAGACUGAAUUUCACAAGCUGUUUUUUUUUUCCUUAGUUGUUGAAGAAUUUGUUCUGCCCUGGGGGCAGCUCUCACUGCUUUACCUCUGCAGUAUGGCAAGGUACUGAGAGAGAAACAGAUAGAAAGUGGCUGAUAUUUCAGUUCUGCGGCCUUAUUAUCUAGUGCACCCCAGAACCUGCUGCUGCCUUCCUGUCUGCCAGCCAGCCUCAAUGCUGUAAGGCACAAAGUUCUCUUUUGGGGGCAUUUUAUAGUGUUAAGUCUUUCACAUAAAUGUUUAUCUUCUUCAGGAGUAUUUGAUAAAAAAUGUUAUUGGAGAUGGGACUCUGAACUUCAUGGUUUUCAGGCAGCUCUUCUUAAAAUCUCCUAGGUAGCAGAAGGCAUCGGUGGUGAGUCCAGGAGCUUUUGUGCUGGAGAACUUUGGCACAUGCUUUGGCAUCAGCUCAUGGGAUGACUUUCUGAAGAAGCAGCUUAACCCUGUGCUGUUUCCAUUCUGCACUGGUGUAUGUUCUGAGGGUAGGUGGUGAAGGUGGAGUGUGCUGUACCCCAGCUGGUGGCAUUAUGCACCCUGGGUUGCUUCUCAAAGGAUGACUUCAGACCAAAACCCAGUUCUGGUUUCCUGCUCACUCUGAUUGUUGCUGUGGCCUCUCACAGCAUGAACCUAUGUGACGUGCAGAGAAAAGCCUAGUGAUUAGUGUGGGAACUGAAGAUAAAAAGAUCUUACCUUCAAAGACUAAAGCUUCACUGUUUCCAGGCUUCCCAGAUGCUGUCCUCCCACGUGGAGGAGGGACAGAGACCCCUGAGAGCCCGUUGUGGCUGCUGUGGGUGGCAGAUGCUCGCCUUUCCCUGCUGCAGAUGCUGUAGAUGGAGAUUCCAGACGGCACGUGUCAGCGACUCCCCCAGGAGCAGGGCUUAGCCCUGGCCAGUGUACAGUUACUUGCACUUGGGCCAGAUUCAAAUCAAAAGAAAAUGUCCCACUGAGAUACUGUAUCUCAGUGGACUUGGGAAUGGCAACUUAAGAAACUGCACGUUCUUGUAGUGCAAAAUAAUGUUUAACUCUUCAGAGUUGGUUGAAGGUGAUCCAGUCACAUGCAAACCAAGAUGGACCUAUUUCUUUGCUUGGUCUCAUCAUAGGCACCAGGCAAGCCAGAGAACUGUACACUCAGGUAGCAAGUGCUUAAAGGGCAUUCAGUUAUACUGAUGAGUUGAACACCUUAGGCAUAAAGACAUAUUCACUGUAGCCAUUUAUUCCAGCAGUGUUGCAGAGUGUGCAGUGCUGAAGGAGCUGGGCAGAGAGGCUUGUGGCAACUUAAGAUGGAACUGCUUGUGGUAAGCUGUACAGGAUAAAUCCUGCACCCUGCCUGGAGCAAGGAAGAUGUGGUGUGCUGGAUCAAACAAAAUCCAGGGAUCUGGCCCAAAUUCAAGUAAUUUUAAACUGCCAGAGAUAAGCCCAUUGGGUUUCAGCUGUGGUUGAGGUGACUGGCACAGACACUCAUGCCACAGCUGGCUUCCACUUACCCAACAGGUCUCCAUCAGCUUGAGGCACUGUCUUCUCCUCUUGGACAUGACCAUUCCACAUCAGAGCAAGGAACCUGAAUGUUCCAGCACGUGCUGGAUUGCCAUGCACCAAGCAGCACUGAGACAGCAGCUCCAGACAAGCAGAGAGCACCAGUGAAGCCUUUCCCCAGGUGCUGCCAUCCCACGGCCUGGGGAUUUGAGAGUUUCAAAGAAGCUUUGCUGCAACGUGGCAGAAGAAAGCUGUGCCAGGGGGUGGACACGGUGGGACGGGGGCGAUGGGAACCCCCUGCCCGCCCAUCCUGCGCUGAUGCUGCUUUCUGCUCACGUUCCAGGCUCUUGGCUCACCACCCCACUGCUGCCUGCAGCUGCGUCACAGCGGGCUUGGGUGCUUUCUCCUGGGACUCCCUCCCUAGGAAACUGUCUCCAAGAAUGAUGCCAAGGAUGCGCUCUGCCAGCUGCAGGUUCGGCAGCUCUGUGUGAGAGGCCGAGUGUCAGCUGCCCAAGUAACCUCAGCUCAACCUGCACUGUAUGUGGCACAUCCAUAGGGAAAAGAGACCUUGGGGUGUGGGGCUAAACCUGUCUGCAGGAGCUGUGUGUGGGUUAUCACUGAGGUUGGGGGUGAAAAAAGCCAGAGGUGUGGGAGCAAGGGGGUCUCAGGUUCCCAACCCUAGACAGAGCAGAGCUGGGGCUCCUGGAUAUAGUUUUUUGGGGGGUUGUUUCUGACUGCAUUCCUCUUCGUUUUGCCCUGAAGUGUGGGGAUGGGAUUUGAGGUGCUGAUCCAGCUCUGCCGUGAUCACCUCUGCCCCUCUCCUGCCCCAAGUGAGUGUGCAUCAGGCCUUCAGGAGCUGUGGGACCAUGCCACAGUCUACCUGUGCCAGACAUCGAGGCUCUAGAUCAGGGCCGGCUAACCAGAGAUGAAAGCAAUCACUCUCCCACACAGGGUCACGCAGUCCCAGCUGAACAUUGCUGAUUGCAGUCCCCUCCCUGUCUGCCUGGGAGCGCUUCCCACCACCCUCAGUGUGGCCGCACACCCAGAUGAGGGUCAUCUCUUCCCUGCAAAGCAGAAACAGUACAAAAGCAUGCAGAUGUCGGGGGCUGCGUGGGGACAGAUGUAACUGUGGGGACAGGUCUGUGUUCAGAGUGAGGGAAUGGCUCAUUGCCCCAUCGCGGGGUAACAACCUGUGAGCAUCCUUUAGGAUCAAAUAGGACCACCCCGGGAAGCCACUGGUCUCAAGUCAUGGUGGUCAGGCAGGGUCCCUGUGGAUGGUGCAGGGGCUGAGGAGAUGAAACAGGCGAUAUCCAGCAGCGCUCAGUCCUGCCCUGCAUUAAGCAAACAUAACAAGAUUCUGCACAGAGCAUGCCUCUCAGUGACCCUACCUCGCUGUAUCUGCCAUUUAAUCAGGGUCACUGUGACUGCUGUCUCACAUCCAGGAGUCUGUCAGCCCAGCAGCACAGCGUGCCAUGCUACAAGCUUGAAGCAAUGCAGAGGACAGCUGUGGGAAAUCAGCAUGCAUGCACAUUCAGGAUCGCAUCAGAACACAGAACUGGAGCUACUGAUGGCCAUGGAGCCCCGUGCAUGGUGACAUCUGCCUAACAAAAGCCCUAUAUCUCAAGGUGAAACAGCAGUUAUCAGCUGUGCUGGAGGCAGUGUUUCUCUUGUUUGGCUCUGCAAGGAAAAAGAUUCCAACUCCACUUCUUCCACGGCUCAUUCCCCCUCAUUGUGAGCCCUGGAAGUUUUUGGCUACUCAGAUAUUUGAGGAUUGUUUUUAAAAGUUUUUACACUGUUUUGCUGGAUUCUCCCCUGACAGGGGUAACGGUUCAGCUGAAGUUAGAGGAAGUUAUCUGAAGCAAUCUUGCAAUUUA